GUAGGUGAACCUGCGGAAGGAUCAUUCAUAGUAAGUGUUUUAUGGCACUUUUUAAAUCCAUAUCCACCUUGUGUGCAAUGUCAGGGUUGGUUUCUCUCUUUUGAGAGAGAUCAACCCCAAACAUCAACUCUAUCCUAACUCUUUGUCUGAAAAAUAUUAUGAAUAAAACAAUUCAAAAUACAACUUUCAACAACGGAUCUCUUGGCUCUC
Molecule: unclassified non-coding RNA, 210 nt
Filed under: rhizosphere metagenome
Description: partial ribosomal RNA internal transcribed spacer region
Source: RNAcentral